GGGAUGUGAUGAGUGGUUCGAACUCGUAUUAAAGAUGCGAGAUGGGUGUCCGCUCCAAAGCCUGGUUACGACAAUUGGGCACUCCCAUCUUAACCAAUCUGAUCCC
Corylus avellana is the source of this 106-nucleotide small nucleolar RNA. RefSeq annotates it as small nucleolar RNA Z279/snoR105/snoR108. Lineage: Eukaryota; Viridiplantae; Streptophyta; Magnoliopsida; Fagales; Betulaceae. The record is from RefSeq and is a predicted model, not a curated record.